Molecule: transfer RNA, 75 nt
Filed under: Deltaproteobacteria bacterium
Lineage: Bacteria; Pseudomonadati; Myxococcota; Myxococcia
Also listed under: 3 other names
Description: tRNA-Gln
Rfam family: tRNA
About the family: Transfer RNA (tRNA) molecules are approximately 80 nucleotides in length. Their secondary structure includes four short double-helical elements and three loops (D, anti-codon, and T loops).
Source: RNAcentral
UGGGGCGUCGCCAAACGGUAAGGCAGCGGGCUCUGACCCCGCCAUUUGUAGGUUCGAUUCCUACCGCCCCAGCCA